This is a small nucleolar RNA of Rhinolophus ferrumequinum (greater horseshoe bat), 130 nucleotides long. The record is from Ensembl. NCBI's taxonomy places the organism in Eukaryota, Metazoa, Chordata, Mammalia, Chiroptera, Rhinolophidae.
AUUGAGGCCCAUCCCCAGGGGGCUUUUCCUGUGGACCCACAUUGUUAGAUAUUCCUCAUUGAGUAACGAUGUGGUUUUGCUUUACUCACAUAACUAUUUUAGAUCUGUGGGAAAGAACUACAAGACAGAG